Molecule: ribosomal RNA, 742 nt
Filed under: uncultured Bacteroidota bacterium
Lineage: Bacteria; Pseudomonadati; Bacteroidota
Description: uncultured Bacteroidetes bacterium partial 16S ribosomal RNA
Source: RNAcentral
GUUCGCUCCCCACGCUUUCGCUCCUCAUCGUCAGUUACGGCCCAGAGAUCUGCCUUCGCCAUCGGUGUUCCUCCUGAUAUCUGCGCAUUCCACCGCUACACCAGGAAUUCCAAUCUCCCCUACCGCACUCUAGUCUGCCCGUACCCACUGCAAGCCCGAGGUUGAGCCUCGGGAUUUCACAGCAGACGCGACAAACCGCCUACGAGCUCUUUACGCCCAAUAAUUCCGGACAACGCUUGCACCCUACGUAUUACCGCGGCUGCUGGCACGUAGUUAGCCGGUGCUUUUUCUGCAGGUACCGUCACUUUCGCUUCUUCCCUACUAAAAGAGGUUUACAACCCGAAGGCCGUCAUCCCUCACGCGGCGUUGCUGCAUCAGGCUUUCGCCCAUUGUGCAAUAUUCCCCACUGCUGCCUCCCGUAGGAGUCUGGGCCGUGUCUCAGUCCCAGUGUGGCCGGUCACCCUCUCAGGCCGGCUACCCGUCGUCGCCUUGGUGAGCCAUUACCUCACCAACAAGCUGAUAGGCCGCGAGUCCAUCCCCAACCAAAAAAUCUUUCCACCACCAGACCAUGCGGCCAGUGAUCAUAUCCAGUAUUAGACGUCGUUUCCAACGCUUAUCCCAGAGUCAGGGGCAGGUUACUCACGUGUUACUCACCCGUUCGCCACUAAUCCACCCAGCAAGCUGGGCAUCAUCGUUCGACUUGCAUGUGUUAAGCACGCCGCCAGCGUUCGUCCUGAGCAGU